This 345-nucleotide unclassified non-coding RNA is filed under the name fungal sp. RNAcentral describes it as "partial contains 5.8S ribosomal RNA, internal transcribed spacer 2, and large subunit ribosomal RNA". The stretch from base 1 to 71 matches the Rfam family "5.8S ribosomal RNA", at positions 84 to 154 of the family's 154-position model. Lineage: Eukaryota; Fungi. The record is from RNAcentral.
GUGAGUCAUCGAAUCUUUGAACGCACAUUGCGCCUUUUGGUAUUCCGAGAGGCACGUCUGUUUGAGCGUCAGCAAAACCCUCCGGCCCUCGGUUUAUUUCGGGAAGCUCGGGCAUACUGGCGCGGGGACUGGCCGCCGCGCUUCGGUGCGGGCGGGCCUUCCCCCGCUUAAAGGUGUGGAAGCUAGCGGGGUGUGCCCCGGAUUGCGACGACUCGUAAGCUUUUUACUGUCGAAGGUAAUCCGGACACCCAUGCCUUGUAACACUGGCUGUUUACGGCCUUGAACCCUUGACCUCAGAUCAGACGAGGAUACCCGCUGAACUUAAGCAUAUCAAUAAGCGGAGGA